RNAcentral lists this ribosomal RNA (591 nucleotides) under Triticum aestivum (bread wheat). RNAcentral's name for it is "partial small subunit ribosomal RNA". The record is from RNAcentral. Lineage: Eukaryota; Viridiplantae; Streptophyta; Magnoliopsida; Poales; Poaceae.
AUGGAGGUUGUGAAGAACGGCGGUUUUGGAUACUUGCUCGAGCUAGAAGAUUGUUAUGUUCCAAGGCCUUUUGCUCAAUGGGUCGCGGACAACAUAUCCACAAAAGAGGAAGCAAUUGUACUUGGUGGCAAAUCAAUCCCUCUCAACCCUGAAGCCGUAUCAUUAGUUCUUGGUAUACCAACAGGAAGAACAAAGAUCACAGUGCUCGACGAGGAGUCCGGGAAAGCGGAGUUUCUAUCACUGUUUGGGCUAACAGAUCUUCCAUCAAUAAGUUUCUUCGGAAAUAAGCUUAUGAAGGAAGAGCUGCCUGAUGACGUUUAUCUUCGCUGCUUCUUGACUGUCACACUAGCAACCUUCAUGUGUCCCACACCCAACACAAAGCCAAGCACCAAAUAUUUGGGAGCACUUGUUGAUGUGUCAAAGUAUAAAGAUCUUGAUUGGUGCUCUUUUGUCCAUACAUGGAAUAUCUCUUGUGUCAAGAAAUAUCAAACAGACAAGCUGAAGGAGAAACGGAUAACAACUUUGGGAGGCUGCAUAUAUCAGCUAGCAGUAUGCUCCUUCUUUUUGUUUAUAUGUAACUUUUUUUGUUAA